Ictidomys tridecemlineatus (thirteen-lined ground squirrel) is the source of this 3588-nucleotide non-coding RNA. The record is from RefSeq and is a predicted model, not a curated record. NCBI's taxonomy places the organism in Eukaryota, Metazoa, Chordata, Mammalia, Rodentia, Sciuridae.
CCCCCUGCCACCGCGCACAGCUUUGUCAUUGAGGAGGCAGGACACACAAGGCCCCCGGUGCCCACUGGUCUCCCUCGUUGGCAGACGCUGAGUGACCCGGUCAGCGGCAGGACGGGCCUCUCCAGAUCAGCUACCUUCGGCCACUUUUGCAGCAUUACCUGCAGAUUGUAAUUAAGAGAUAAUGUCACUGGGAGGACGUUGUCACCGGGUAAUGGUCUCCCGCGGCUUCCGAAAUGUCAAGGCAAAGUCACGGCAUUAACCAGGAAUGAACAUUGGCGGGAGGCGCCUUGGUUCCCGCAGUGGGGAACCUCAGUCCUGCGGCAGCCAUGGCGCAGGGUCCUCUAGGGAUGACGGAGGCCAGCUGACGAGGUGGCCCGAAGACGAGGGCUCUUGCCGGUGUGGGAGCCCGGCUGCCCGCGGGUGGCGGUGCCUGAUGGGCUCCAGGAGGGUCCGGCUGCCCUCCCUGCCCAGGACCACAGCCCUGCUCUGUGUGGCCAAGGUGCAGGUGGCCCGGGUCCCAGGUCCCGAUCGGGCAGGGCCUUCUCUGCAGCUGGCCGCCGUGGCCUGCUGAUGGGCGUGGAGAGGGCUGUUCUCUGACAGGUCCUCCUCCUGCCCCCGUGGGCUCCCGGGGACCGGCUGGUGAUGCAGCGGCCACCCCUGGACAACCUCAGUUUCCGCAUCGCCACCCAAGAAGCAGGCAGCGGGGAGGCCGGCGGGGCAUGGAGAGGGGCCUCGCUGUCCAGGAGGCACACACAGCUGGCUUGGUGGCUGGCAUGGCCGAGGCCUCUGCUGCCCGCUCCUCGGGGUCUUUCUUGGGUGCAGAUCUGCUCUGGCAGCUGCCCAGCUCCGUCCUGCUCUGAGCGAAGGCUCAGGUGCCCGGAGACCGGGCUCCAGCUGCUGCCCAGGGCUCUGUCCUACUGCUGGCCACCAUCCAGGGCCUCCAGCCUGCCCCUUCCCCUUGGGACGCCUCCCCCAGGAAGUCCCCCGGGGGCCCUCGCCACAGUCCUCAGCCCCUGGGUCCCCGUCUCCCUGAGCUGCGCGUUUCCACCGGGGCCUGUUGGGUGGCGUCCCCUGCUGUCACCUGCCGGCGGAUCACACACACCACCAGCCAGUGACUCCGACAGUGAGCAUCCACUGGGCUCCUGUGUCCGCAGGCCAGCGAUGGAGGCCAGGCUGCCCCACGGUGGUGCUGGCUGUCGGCUGCUCCCCGGGGGGACGUCAGCAGGGACAGUGUGUCAGCCCGCGGUCACUGUGACCUGGUAUCAGAAAGCCACUUGGCGGACAGAGGAUGACUGCGACUCUCAGUCCAGAGGCCCCACUACGCGGGCCCAAGGUGGGGUAACACCGUGGUGGACAGAGCUGUCCGCCCAUGGUGGCCAGGGAGCGGAGAGGGAGAGAGAACGGGACCUGGACAAGGCACAGUCCCCAGGGACACGCUCCUGAGGCUCCACCCGUCCUGCAGGCCGUUAGCCCGAGUCACGGUGGGUUGAUCCCUGCGGUCAGGGCCCCACGGUCCUUGCUGCGCCCCAGCUGCGAGGCCUGGGUCCACCCCGGCCCCUCUGCCCAGGGGAGGCCGGUCCUCAUCCUGCCUGCCUCUGUCCCCGAAGGAGGACCUGCUUUGACCUAAGGAGCGUGGGUGGGUGGGCUGCUGCCUACCCCAAGAGCCCUGGCGCCGUCCUGCGGUCUGUCCAGCCCAGCUUUCCCUCGGCUCCGAGGGGGACGAGAAAUGGCAGGACCACCAAGCCCAGCUCGCAGGGAGGCCCCGCCGGGUGGCAGCCGUGAAAGCCAUGAUGGAGGUCAGGGUGCUGGGUCUUCGUCCAGCAGCAUGGGGUGGGGGGUGGACGGUAGUUAGCGGACACAUCUCCCGGUGCCUCCUUCCACAGGCAAGAAGCCAAGGUCCAAGUGGACGGGGAUCUUCUUGAGCUGUCCUGGGGCUGAGCCCCAUGAGCCCCAGCCCUACUGGCUGCCCUUGCAGUUUUUCUGAGCACCUACUAUGUGCCUGGGCUGGAAGCUGGAGCUGCCCAGUGGACACGACCCUCCGCCUGUGAGCUGCCCCUGUGAAGGCACCUCUGUCCUAGAGGGUCAGUACAGGUCCACCGUGAGUGAUCGGCCACAGCGAUCAUCCCCAGCCCUGGCCACGUCACUGCAUGUGCCGCAGACUCUAGGCUGCUAAGAGAGGGACUGGCCAACCUGGCAUGCAGAGAACUCCAGGCCAGCGCCUCGCAGGAGAGCCAGGCCAGCUCAGAGGGCCUGGGCCAGCGCUUCCUACCCCCGCUCUCCCGGCCUCCAGAACAGUGCCCGGCAUACAAAAUUUAGAAGCUUCUAGAAGACAGCCCAUCUGCAUCUGCCACUUGGAGACCUGAGUGUCUGUUAGGGUCCGUGCUCCACAGCGGUGACAGGGACGCCCCGAUGUGCACGGGUUAAGCAGACGCAGGUGGGUUUGACGGAGGAGCCCGGGCAGGCGGCUGUGCCAGGGACCCCGAGCUCCAUGCCACCGUUGUUUGAGGACUGGAUCCUUUCCUCUUGUCCCUGUCACCCGAGGCCCAGCAGAAGUGGAGUCGGAACUUGAUCCACACUGGGGGUCUCGGGAAGGGGAGGGGUCCCUGGGGUCCUUCCUGGUGUGCACGGAGGUGGGAGGUGGCGUCCGACCAGCAGGGCCCUGUGUCCAGCUCCAGCUGCGUUCCUGCCCCAGGAGGCCCUCCGGCUGUUGCCUUGUACAUCUGGGCUCCGAUACCCUGCUCAUGAAGUGAGGAGACGGGCUCAGGAAGUCAGGUCACUGCCCAGGUCACACAGCAAGGCCAUUACAGAACCAGGGCCUGGAGCCAGGCUGCCUCUGGGGGCCCGGGAGGGCUGCUGCUCUCCGCGCUGCCUGGCCUGCGCUCCCCCCUGGAGCCUGUGCACAGGGCAGCAAGGAGGACCGGGCGGGAGGCCGGGUGUGAGGAGGAGAGGCCGUGCUGGGUGUGUAGGCGUCCAGGCAGCCUGGAGCUCAGCUGCCCCAUCACAGGACAUUCUGGGGCCCUGGGAGGCCUCCCGGAGGCUGGUGCCCGAGGUCGGCUCAGAAGCACGGCAUGUCUCCCAGGCAGCUGGGCUGGGGUCUCCCUGGGCUGGGGGUCUCCUGUGGGCUGGGGUCUCCCCAUGGGCUAGGGUCUCCCUGUGGGCUGCAGUCUCCUGUGGGCUGGGGUCUCCCGUGGGCUGGGGUCUCCCGUGGGCUGGGGUUUCCCCGUGGGCUGCAGUCUACUGUGGGCUGGGGUCUCCCGUGGGCUGGGGUCUCCCGUGGGCUGGGGUCUCCCGUGGGCUGGCAGCCCUGGUGGGCUCGUGGCCUCCCGGCGCCCCUCCCUCCUGCCUGCGGGCCUCCUGGGCCUCCUGAGCUUCAGUGUCCUCUCCGCUGAGACAGGAUGAAGGCAACUCCCACGGGGGUGGGGAGGGGGCUGUGGACGGCCAGCGGCCCUGGGCUGUAUCUGGGUUUCUCCAGGGAGGGGCAGGCAGCUCUGACCCCCGCUCAGCUCAGGCCCAGGAAUGUCAUCGUGUGGCUCCCGCGGAGGGCAGAGGCUGGGCAGGGAGCCCCUCCUCGCGGCCCUGACAAAUAGA